UAAAACUGAAACAUCGACAAGCUAACAAGCUAAAGAGUGAAGUUCCGUGAUGUUUCAAUCGAGGAUUUGUACCGUCUACUGCCCCCUGAUUUGAUGCCACAGCUUCGACUCCAUGCAGCUCCUGUGUUUUGUCCACGUUUGGAAGCACCGAUCUGUGCGAACAGAUGUUUUCAAAAAUGAAUUUAAACAAGACCAAGACCAGAUCGUGAACCUACACGCCAUUUUGCGGGUUGCCACAGAAUAGAACUAAAACCAGACAUGGACGAACUGACCAGGGGAAAACGGUGCCAGACAUCCGGCCAGAAAACAUUGGUGCUGUAUGUUGUGUU
This is a long non-coding RNA of Xiphophorus couchianus (Monterrey platyfish), 329 nucleotides long. RefSeq lists it as uncharacterized. Lineage: Eukaryota; Metazoa; Chordata; Actinopteri; Cyprinodontiformes; Poeciliidae. The record is from RefSeq and is a predicted model, not a curated record. The transcript has 3 exons.